GUCAUAAGUAGUUUAUUUAAUAAGAGUAUGUGACGUUUCAAACUUUCUUUGGUAAACAGUAAAACGUAUUGGAGAAAAAUAGUUUGUUUUCAAUAGGACAGGUAAAAUUAAAGUAUAUUGUGAAAGUUAAUGUUUUAUCAAGUUGACAUUAUUCAGAUAAUGGCACAUGUGUUUCUGUUACAAUGAACACUGAUUAAUUGGUCUCUAUUUUGCUUUCCCAGUGCUCUUAGCACUCUUCCUUUUUGGUGACGGACUUUUCUUUUGUUCAAUAUGAUGAGAAGUUUCUUGAGCUGCUACUGCAUCUUGUUUUUUUUUCUCGACUUCAAGCAAUUUAUUUCUGUAUGACUCUCGAGCACUGAGAAUUUGUUGACGAGCAUUGUCUAAUGAUAUCUGUAGAUCUUCAUAUGUCUGUAGCACUUUCUUCUUUAGCAAAUUUCGUGCAAUCUGUUCCUGCUCCCUUUGCUGUAUGACUUCCUCUCGACUCUGUCUAUACUGUUGAAUCUCUUCUGCCUUUUGCAAGGCCUGCUGCUGAAUUACAUAUUCGUCUCGUAGCAACGGUUGUGGCCUUGUUUUUCUAAGAAAGGGUGUCAAAUCCAAUGUGGUAAAUUCUUUAGUGUCUGGAUCCAUUGAUUGACUUCCCAAGAUCUUGGCUGGAUCUAUUCCGUCUCCAUUUAAUACUUGAGUGUCUUGUGGAAUUUUCAUUUCAGACGUGUCCGCAUUGAUUUUUUGCACAUAUUUGUUGAUAUACUGCAACCGUGACUGCAAUGCCUUGACAGCUCGUCCAGGUUCCGCCAACUCCCAUGCCUGCUUCAUAGCUCUGAUCUCAUCUAGACGUUCUGUGUCUUUUUUAACUUCCAGUGUGUCUACUUCGCUUGUUUGGCUGACUAGCCUUAGAAUCCAACUCGGCUUAUUCAAAUCUGUCUGCAGUUGAGCCUGAGAUUCAGGUCUGGAAGUUGGAGUUGACAUAAGUCGUUCUCUGUCUUUUCCAGACUUCUCCUUUUCAGGUUUUUCUGUUUUCCCUUUCCUGAUAGUCUUCGGAGUGCUCACUGGUUUUUGGACAUCACCGCUAUGGUGAACUUCUGAAUGUACCUCUUCAUAAACUCUUGCCUCCUGUUUCUCUAACUCCUUUAGUGUUUGAACAAAGGCAGCUUGACUCUCCGUGAGGGUCCAGCUGUUAUUUAGCACAAUAGCUUGUAUAAUGUACUUGUGUGC
This is a non-coding RNA of Pelobates cultripes (western spadefoot toad), 1212 nucleotides long. NCBI's taxonomy places the organism in Eukaryota, Metazoa, Chordata, Amphibia, Anura, Pelobatidae. The record is from the annotation of a GenBank genome assembly.